RNAcentral lists this long non-coding RNA (313 nucleotides) under Brassica rapa (field mustard). Its description in RNAcentral is "long non-coding RNA (BRAP_LNC001093)". The record is from RNAcentral. Lineage: Eukaryota; Viridiplantae; Streptophyta; Magnoliopsida; Brassicales; Brassicaceae.
ACCAGUCCAACUCUCCUCUCCUUCCAAGCUUAUUGAGACCAAAUUCAACUUUUUCUACUUGCGGAUGUAACAUUAUAUCUCCUACUCUCCUUUGUUCAACGGCUUCUUUUCUGGCUCUUAGGUUAAAAGCUAAUAGAGUUCCUCAAAAUGAAUCUAAUUAGUUGUUGUGCUUGGAAAAUGAAAGCAGUUUGGAGAAAAAGCUCAUAAGGUAUAUUAAUAUCUUCAAGUCCAUGAAUACAAUCGUGAAUUACGAAAGCUUACACUAUGCAUUGACUUGGCCAAGUUCAAUGUAUGCUAAAAAGACUCAUUGCCA